RNAcentral lists this ribosomal RNA (142 nucleotides) under uncultured bacterium. Its description in RNAcentral is "partial 16S ribosomal RNA". It matches the Rfam family "Bacterial small subunit ribosomal RNA", at positions 383 to 539 of the family's 1533-position model. The record is from RNAcentral.
CUGAUCCAGCCAUGCCGCGUGAGUGAAGAAGGCCCUAGGGUUGUAAAGCUCUUUCAUUGGGGAAGAUAAUGACGGUAACCGGAGAAGAAGCCCCGGCUAACUUCGAGCCAGCAGCCGCGGAAAUACUCCGGGCCAGCAGCCG